Molecule: microRNA precursor, 209 nt
Filed under: Oryza rufipogon (brownbeard rice)
Lineage: Eukaryota; Viridiplantae; Streptophyta; Magnoliopsida; Poales; Poaceae
Description: MIR812 microRNA precursor family
Rfam family: MIR812 microRNA precursor family
Source: Rfam by way of RNAcentral
AAUAUGUGUAGUUUUACACUAUUUAUGUUCAACGUUUGACCGUUCGUCUUAUUUGAAAAAAAAAUUAUGAUUAGUAUUUUUAUUGCUAUUAGAUGAUAAAACAUGAAUAAUACUUUAUGUGUGACUAAAUAUUUUGAAAUUUUUUUAAAAAAUUUUAAAUAAGACGGACGGUCAAACGUUGGGCACGGAUAUCCACGGCUGUAUUUGUU